CGCUUGGUGGUCUAGUGGGUGAGACUCUGUGCUCCCAAUGCAGGGGGUCCAGGUUUGAUUCCUGGUCAGGAAA
This 73-nucleotide transfer RNA is filed under the name Bos taurus (domestic cattle). It matches the Rfam family "tRNA". Rfam says of the family: Transfer RNA (tRNA) molecules are approximately 80 nucleotides in length. Their secondary structure includes four short double-helical elements and three loops (D, anti-codon, and T loops). RNAcentral also lists the same sequence under 2 other names. The record is from Rfam by way of RNAcentral. Lineage: Eukaryota; Metazoa; Chordata; Mammalia; Artiodactyla; Bovidae.